Molecule: ribosomal RNA, 264 nt
Filed under: uncultured soil bacterium
Lineage: Bacteria
Description: partial 16S ribosomal RNA
Rfam family: Bacterial small subunit ribosomal RNA
Source: RNAcentral
AGAGUGAACGCUGGCGGCAGGCCUAACACAUGCAAGUCGAACGGCAGCACAGGAGAGCUUGCUCUCUGGGUGGCGAGUGGCGGACGGGUGAGGAAUACAUCGGGAUCUGCCUUAUCGUGGGGGAUAACGUAGGGAAACUUACGCUAAUACCGCAUACGACCUACGGGUGAAAGCGGAGGACCUUCGGGCUUCGCGCGAUAAGAUGAGCCGAUGUCGGAUUAGCUAGGUUGGCGGGGUAAAGGCCCACAAGGCGACGAUCCGUAG